AUAUACAGUAUAUUUCAUUGGAUCACCAGCCAAUCAGCAUUGUCUUGACAUCAUUUUUUUAGUCCCAUGGCUGAGGUAACAAGCUCAAAAACACCCGGCGGCAGAACUGAGCACCCAUGAGCAUCUUUACUUCCGGGGGGUCCCACAACAGCUGAACAUCUGUCAUAGACAUGGAUGGGAAUGCUAACAGAUCCUCUCCUGUGGCCUCAUGGGAUAGUAAAGUGUCCAUCGGAUGCACACUUCAGAAUCUCACCAGAAGUAGCAGGACGUAUCACUGUGUUCGAAAUGGCAGGCGACUCCGAGGAUACAAGCUUGUGCUUUUCUUACUGGCUUGUCUCAGGAAAUCGGCCUUAUCAGUCUUGCCCAAGCUGCAAUACAGCAGAAUAAUUUUACAGCUGGCUGAGAAAGCCUUGGCGACCCUGGAUUGUGUGCUGUGCAGGCAAAAUUUAACCUUGGUGUCCCUUAUCAAAUUAGAACUGCCUUUUGUUUACCACCAGCUGACAGAAAGCUAUAUUUGUGACGGGCCUUUUUCUCUGAGUGAGGCCAAGUGGCAGCAGAGACGCUGAUGGAUAAUUUAUGAUUUAUGUAUGUGUGCAAACGCACCGCUAUUUGUACAGUGCUGACAUGAAACCAGGCUCUAGAGACCAUGAGAAUAUGUUUGAUAAAUAAAGUAUGUUAUACUAAAGGUAUGAGCGCUAUAUGCUGGUGAUUUUUUGAUCACUGACAGAUCAGCACCAUUCUGAUAGUGUGCAGACG
Molecule: long non-coding RNA, 756 nt
Organism: Cyprinus carpio carpio
Lineage: Eukaryota; Metazoa; Chordata; Actinopteri; Cypriniformes; Cyprinidae
Source: Ensembl